This 274-nucleotide ribosomal RNA is filed under the name uncultured bacterium. RNAcentral's name for it is "partial 16S ribosomal RNA". It matches the Rfam family "Bacterial small subunit ribosomal RNA", at positions 523 to 796 of the family's 1533-position model. The record is from RNAcentral.
AUACGGAGGGUGCGAGCGUUAAUCGGAAUUACUGGGCGUAAAGCGCUCGUAGGCGGCUUGUUAAGUCGGAUGUGAAAGCCCCGGGCUCAACCUGGGAACUGCAUUCGAUACUGGCAGGCUAGAGUAUAGUAGAGGCAAGUGGAAUUCCGGGUGUAGCGGUGAAAUGCGUAGAUAUCCGGAGGAACAUCAGUGGCGAAGGCGACUUGCUGGACUAAUACUGACGCUAAGGAGCGAAAGCGUGGGGAGCAAACGGUAUUAGAAACCCCAGUAGUCC